RNAcentral lists this long non-coding RNA (1134 nucleotides) under Astyanax mexicanus (Mexican tetra). RNAcentral describes it as "lncRNA (ENSAMXG00005012125.1)". The record is from RNAcentral. Lineage: Eukaryota; Metazoa; Chordata; Actinopteri; Characiformes; Acestrorhamphidae.
UCUCCUUCUCUUUAUCCACACUCCUCCAUCCCUCUCUCCUUCCCUUUGUCCACACUCCUCCAUCCCUCUAUCCCUCUCUCCUUCCCUUUAGCCACACUCCUCCAUCCCUCUAUCCCUCUCUCCUUCCCUUUAUCCACACUCCUCAAUCCCUCUAUCCUUCCCUUUAUCCACAUUCCUCCAUCCCACUAUCCCUCUCUCUUUCCCUUUAUCCAUACUCCUCUAUCUCUCAAUCCCUUCACACUCUCUCCUUCCCUUCACCCUCUCUGCUUCCGUUUAUCCACACUCCUCCAUCCCUCUCUCCUUCCCUUUAUUCAUACUCCUCUAUCUCUCCAUCCCUCCAUCCCUUCACCCUCUCUCCUUCCCUUUAUCCACACUCCUCCAUCCCUCUCUCCUUCCCUUUAUCCAUACUCCUUCAUCUCUCCAUCCCUCUGUCUCUUCACCCUCUCUCCUUCCCUUUAUCCACACUCCUCCAUCCCAUCAUUCCUCUCUCCUUCCCUUUAUCCGCACUCCUCCAUCCCUCUAUCCUUCUCUUUAUCCAAACUCCUCCAUCCCUCCAUCUCUCCACCCUCCUCCUCCUCAGUAGACGAAGCUCCAGUCUCUCCAGAGAACUCUUCAGAAAGUGUCAUACAGUGUCCGAAUACUUUUCAACAUAGUGUAUUUCACUUUAUCUUUAUUCUUUAUCGCUUUUUUCUUUAUCUUUUUCACCUCUCUAUUUAUCCCUGUUUGCCUUUUCACUCUCUUUCUCUCUUUACUCUUCACUUUGUUUUUUUCUUGUGCUCUUUUUUUUACAUUUUUGUUCACAGAGCUUUCUGUCUCUCUCUUUUCAUCUUCUUUGUUUACUUUAUUCCCCCCCCACACUCUCUUUCUCUCAAUCUCUACUUUCUUUCACUUUGUAUAUCUCUCUCUCCCUAAUCCAUUUCUUAUUGCUCUCUCUUUAUUUCUCUACCUUUUUUUUUUACCUCAUCUCUCCCUCUCUCUCUCUCUCUCUCUCUCUCUCUCUCUCAUUUCUCUUGUUUUCUCUAUGUCUUCUUCAUGUCUGUUUCUCGUUUGUCUUUCACUUUAUAAGUCUCGCCCCAACAUCCUCUUUUUCUCUUUCUUUCUUUUCUCUCAAUUUUUGCAUCUCUUUGGCUUUUU